Molecule: ribosomal RNA, 393 nt
Filed under: uncultured bacterium
Lineage: Bacteria
Description: partial 16S ribosomal RNA
Rfam family: Bacterial small subunit ribosomal RNA
Source: RNAcentral
AUACGGAGGAUGCGAGCGUUAUCCGGAUUUAUUGGGUUUAAAGGGAGCGUAGGUGGGAUAUUAAGUCAGCUGUGAAAGUUUGGGGCUCAACCUUAAAAUUGCAGUUGAUACUGGUUUCCUUGAGUACGGUACAGGUGGGCGGAAUUCGUGGUGUAGCGGUGAAAUGCUUAGAUAUCACGAAGAACUCCGAUCGCGAAGGCAGCUCACCGGGCCGGAACUGACACUGAUGCUCGAAAGUGCGGGUAUCAAACAGGAUUAGAUACCCUGGUAGUCCACACAGUAAACGAUGAAUACUCGCUGUUUGCGAUAUACAGUAAGCGGCCAAGCGAAAGCGUUAAGUAUUCCACCUGGGGAGUACGCCGGCAACGGUGAAACUCAAAGGAAUUGGCGGGG